Molecule: non-coding RNA, 281 nt
Filed under: Desulfonispora thiosulfatigenes DSM 11270
Lineage: Bacteria; Bacillati; Bacillota; Clostridia; Eubacteriales; Peptococcaceae
Description: Bacterial small subunit ribosomal RNA
Rfam family: Bacterial small subunit ribosomal RNA
Source: Rfam by way of RNAcentral
UUAAUGGAGAGUUUGAUCCUGGCUCAGGACGAACGCUGGCGGCAUGCCUAACACAUGCAAGUCGAACGGACUUUUAGUUUUUAGUUUACUAAAUACUAAAAGUUAGUGGCGGACGGGUGAGUAACGCGUGGGUAACCUGCCCAUAAGUUGGGGAUAACUCCGGGAAACCGGUGCUAAUACCGAAUAAGCUUAAUUUACCGCAUGGUAGAUUAAGUAAAGAUGGCCUCUUUACAAUGCUAUCGCUUAUGGAUGGACCCGCGUCUGAUUAGCUAGUUGGUGAG